This is a long non-coding RNA of Micropterus salmoides (largemouth bass), 583 nucleotides long. RefSeq lists it as uncharacterized. The record is from RefSeq and is a predicted model, not a curated record. The transcript is spliced from 5 exons. NCBI's taxonomy places the organism in Eukaryota, Metazoa, Chordata, Actinopteri, Centrarchiformes, Centrarchidae.
GACGAUGGAUGGAUGGAUAUUGCUGAGAAGUGGACAGUUAUAAACACCACUGUCACUUGAAGAGGAGAGGGGCCAAAUUCAUCCAUAAAGAAGGGACAUUUAUGAGGUGGAGGGAGCUCAGGAUUAAGGUCAUGCCUUCGAGAUGAGCAGCCAAUCCUUGCGUUUCAGAAGUGGGAUCUAGUCAGUGUUUGACAUGCUUGAACCAGCUUGUUCUUGGUCAGUAUGCCAUUUGAUGGAGUGUGCUUGCCAUCUCGCCUGCCUCUGGCCAUGGUGCCAUCUUGAAAGGCGCCGCGGCACACACACCUGGCCCGCCGGCUGCCUCUUUGGUCUGCCUCACCUUUUGUCAGCACCAUGUUAAUGAAGGCCCUGUCAGUGUCCACCGCUCGCACACCGGGGCGCCUUUUAAUGAGUUCGCUAUUUGAUCGCCAUAGACACCCAGCACGAAUGAUGCUCAUUUUUUUUUAUCCCUCAUGGAUGAUGCUCCUUCGCUCUUGUAUAUGUAUGCAUGUUCACAGAAGUGUGUGUUGGGCUAAAGGGGAGGGAGACAAAAAAGAGGGGGCCGGUCAGCUGAUUAGGACGAGUU